ACUUCGGUACAUCGGUGACAGGUGGUGCAUGGUUGUCGUCAGCUCGUGUCGCGAGAUGUUGGGUUAAGUCCCGCAACGAGCGCAACCCCUAUUGUUAGUUGCCAUCAUUCAGUUGGGCACUCUAGCGAGACUGCCGGUAAUAAACCGGAGGAAGGUGGGGAUGACGUCAAAUCAUCAUGCCCCUUAUGACCUGGGCUACACACGUGCUACAAUGGUUGGUACAACGAGUUGCGAGUCGGUGACGGCGAGCUAAUCUCUUAAAGCCAAUCUCAGUUCGGAUUGUAGGCUGCAACUCGCCUACAUGAAGUCGGAAUCGCUAGUAAUCGCGGAUCAGCACGCCGCGGUGAAUACGUUCCCGGGCCUU
This 364-nucleotide ribosomal RNA is filed under the name uncultured Streptococcus sp. Its description in RNAcentral is "bacterial SSU rRNA". It matches the Rfam family "Bacterial small subunit ribosomal RNA", at positions 1017 to 1382 of the family's 1533-position model. The record is from RNAcentral. Lineage: Bacteria; Bacillati; Bacillota; Bacilli; Lactobacillales; Streptococcaceae.